This 254-nucleotide ribosomal RNA is filed under the name uncultured bacterium. RNAcentral describes it as "partial 16S ribosomal RNA". It matches the Rfam family "Bacterial small subunit ribosomal RNA", at positions 524 to 776 of the family's 1533-position model. The record is from RNAcentral.
UACGGAGGUGGCAAGCGUUGCUCGGAAUCACUGGGCGUAAAGGGCUCGUAGGCGGCCAACUAAGUCAGACGUGAAAUCCCUCGGCUUAACCGGGGAACUGCGUCUGAUACUGGAUGGCUUGAGUUUGGGAGAGGGAUGCGGAAUUCCAGGUGUAGCGGUGAAAUGCGUAGAUAUCUGGAGGAACACCGGUGGCGAAGGCGGCAUCCUGGACCAACACUGACGCUGAGUGAGCGAAAGCCAGGGGAGCAAACGGG